CUCUCUUUGAUACGAAAAGUGCACCCAAAGAUAUCAACAUACGGCUACGCUUUAUAAGUGAUUUCUAUAAUACCUAAAGCUACACUUUUUAAACUAUGCCACAAUUGUGUUUCCUUUUCUCUUAUAAAAACGCAACACGGAGAAAAGCGUAGCCUAUCAAAUAGGCUACGCUUUUCAAAUGUAGCUAAAAAAAAUGUGGCUGGAUGGGUACUUUUCUUGUAGUCUCGUUGCUGUCGCACGAAGGUCUGCGACUCCGAGUUGAGCUCGUGGCGUUGAGGUCUCAUUGUGCUCUCUCUCUCUCUGUGUUAAGGUCUCAUCGUUCUCUCUCACUCUUUGUCCGAGCUCAACGUCCCUCUUCGAGCUCUCUCUGUUUGAGCUCAAAUCACUCGCCGUCACUUCUCAUUCCUCCGUCGCCGCCACUUCCAUUCCUCCAUCGCCGCCGGCAAACACUGCUGUUUCAAUAUAUUUUUGCUUAUUUUGUAAUAAUGUUAAUUCUGAGUUGCUGAGAUAAUGAUUCUAAAUUACUGAUUUUGUUAAUUUUUGCUUAUUCUGUGUUGCUGAUUUUCUGGAGUAAUGUUGCUGAUUUCCUAAAAUAUUGUUGCUGAUUUUGAUUUUCUGAUUUCCUGAGUUAAUUUUAAUAAUGGUUAAUUUAUUUAAUUU
This 660-nucleotide long non-coding RNA is filed under the name Arachis ipaensis. Its description in RNAcentral is "long non-coding RNA (AIPA_LNC002612)". Lineage: Eukaryota; Viridiplantae; Streptophyta; Magnoliopsida; Fabales; Fabaceae. The record is from RNAcentral.